This 496-nucleotide ribosomal RNA is filed under the name uncultured bacterium. Its description in RNAcentral is "partial 16S ribosomal RNA". It matches the Rfam family "Bacterial small subunit ribosomal RNA", at positions 29 to 507 of the family's 1533-position model. The record is from RNAcentral.
AUGAACGCUGGCGGCGUGCCUAAUACAUGCAAGUCGAGCGAACAGACGAGGAGCUUGCUCCUCUGACGUUAGCGGCGGACGGGUGAGUAACACGUGGAUAACCUACCUAUAAGACUGGGAUAACUUCGGGAAACCGGAGCUAAUACCGGAUAAUAUAUUGAACCGCAUGGUUCAAUAGUGAAAGACGGUUUUGCUGUCACUUAUAGAUGGAUCCGCGCCGCAUUAGCUAGUUGGUAAGGUAACGGCUUACCAAGGCAACGAUGCGUAGCCGACCUGAGAGGGUGAUCGGCCACACUGGAACUGAGACACGGUCCAGACUCCUACGGGAGGCAGCAGUAGGGAAUCUUCCGCAAUGGGCGAAAGCUUGACGGAGCAACGCCGCGUGAGUGAUGAAGGUCUUCGGAUCGUAAAACUCUGUUAUUAGGGAAGAACAAAUGUGCAAGUAACUAUGCACGUCUUGACGGUACCUAAUCAGAAAGCCACGGCUAACUACGUG